RNAcentral lists this ribosomal RNA (255 nucleotides) under uncultured Gammaproteobacteria bacterium. RNAcentral describes it as "partial 16S ribosomal RNA". It matches the Rfam family "Bacterial small subunit ribosomal RNA", at positions 56 to 309 of the family's 1533-position model. Lineage: Bacteria; Pseudomonadati; Pseudomonadota; Gammaproteobacteria. The record is from RNAcentral.
UGCAAGUCGAGCGGUAGCACAGAGAGCUUGCUCUCGGGUGACAAGCGGCGGACGGGUGAGUAACGCGUAGGAAUCUACCUAAUAGUGGGGGAUAGCCCAGGGAAACUUGGAUUAAUACCGCAUACGCCCUAAGGGGGAAAGCGGGGGAUCUUCGGACCUCGUGCUAUUAGAUGAGCCUGCGUAAGAUUAGCUAGUUGGUGAGGUAAGAGCUCACCAAGGCGACGAUCUUUAGCUGGUCUGAGAGGAUGAUCAGCC